AAGGGGCAGUAAGGCGUGGGUAACUUACCCCGGGGAUCGGGAUAGCCUUCCUAACGGAAGGGUAAUACCGGGCGAUGUAGCCGUACCGCAUGGCGUGGCUACGAAACGAAUUUCGCCUCGGGCGGGGCUCACGUAGUAUUAGCUAGUUGGUGGGGUGACGGCCCACCAAGGCCGAGAUGCUUAGCGGGUGUGAGAGCACGACCCGCGCCACUGGCACUGCGACACUGGCCAGACUCCUACGGGAGGCUGCAGUCGAGGAUCUUCGGCAAUGGGCGUAAGCCUGACCGAGCGACGCCGCGUGUGCGAUGAAGGCCUUCGGGUUGUAAAGCACUGUCGAGGGGGAGGAAGCCGCAAGGUUGACCGACCCCUGGAGGAAGCACGGGCUAAGUUCGUGCCAGCAGCCGCGGUAAGACGAACCGUGCGAACGUUAUUCGGAUUCACUGGGCUUAAAGGGCGCGUAGGCGGUCGACCCAGUCCGGGGUGAAAUCUUUCGGCUCAACCGGAAAAGGGCCUCGGAUACUGGUC
This 525-nucleotide ribosomal RNA is filed under the name uncultured bacterium. RNAcentral's name for it is "bacterial SSU rRNA". It matches the Rfam family "Bacterial small subunit ribosomal RNA", at positions 102 to 638 of the family's 1533-position model. The record is from RNAcentral.